RNAcentral lists this ribosomal RNA (203 nucleotides) under uncultured bacterium. Its description in RNAcentral is "partial 16S ribosomal RNA". It matches the Rfam family "Bacterial small subunit ribosomal RNA", at positions 524 to 727 of the family's 1533-position model. The record is from RNAcentral.
UACGUAGGGGGCAAGCGUUGUCCGGAUUAUUGGGCGUAAAGAGCGUGUAGGCGGUUAGGUAGGUCCGUUGUGAAAACUCGAGGCUCAACCUCGAGACGCCGAUGGAAACCAUCUAACUAGAGUCCGGAAGAGGAGAGUGGAAUUCCUGGUGUAGCGGUGAAAUGCGCAGAUAUCAGGAAGAACACCCGUGGCUAAGGCGGCUC